Pseudopipra pipra is the source of this 3241-nucleotide long non-coding RNA. RefSeq lists it as uncharacterized. Lineage: Eukaryota; Metazoa; Chordata; Aves; Passeriformes; Pipridae. The record is from RefSeq and is a predicted model, not a curated record. The transcript is spliced from 3 exons.
GACGAGGAGGAAAGGGUGUGGAGGAAGCCGGGCCACGGUCUGGGGAGCAAACUUCCCCCGUCGAGACGGGAAAAAAAUAGAAAGAAGCCUCGAGACAAAGGAUCCCCACGACACGCGCGGUUCUUUCAACAGAUGAUUUGAGAAUGAAACUUGAUAAUCCGUUCAUGCUGCUCGCAAAGAAAGAUGACACGACGGAUCUCAGUGGCAGGAGUGAUGAACCAAGACUGCGAGCUGCCAGCUGUCCCUCGAUCACAACAGAAGUUCUCCUGCUCCUUUCCAUCGUGGGCCAUGCUUUGCCUUUUCCCCACACCGAGUGGUUUCCCCACCCAAACAGCAUUCAGAGACGUUCUUUCAGCUGACCCAUCUCCCAGGUAUCUCCAGCCUCCCAUGGUUCCAUCCAGCUGGGUCCCAGGAUGACCCAGCCAGGGCAGCCCAGCUCCUCCCCUGCCAAAGUCCUGGUGUGGGAAUCACACCUGAGCUGCUCCCACAAGUCCAGGCUCUACUCAGGACCCACCACACCCACUCCCAAGAGUCCCUGUGACACAGUGGGAAGCACAGAAGGGUGGGAAUGUUGGCUGAGCUGUGGGAUGAACCCCAAAUCCCACCACUGCCAACAAGAGCUCCAACAAAGCGCGGAGCUUUGCCAGCAUGAAAUCCCAUUUCCCGACCAGCCCCAAGUACUGUGUGAAAAUUUUAUUUUCUCUGAAAACUCUAUCACUCUCUUAAAUCCGCUGGAAUUUUUUUCCACCGCAAAGAACAAAGCUUUAGAUAAAAGCAUCUGACCAGCCACAGCAAAAAUACAGUAAAAGGCCAUGAAAAAGGAGCUGUCAACUUUCAUGCCCAAAUAUAUUCUAUUUAAAUGCAACUAAAAAAGAACAGCUAGGGGAAAAGGCAGCAAUAAAUUAAGGCUUUUCUUCUUCUAAUCCAGUUGAAAGGUCAUAUGAUGUUAGGUUUUUACAAGUUGUAAUUAAUUUCUUUCCAUGAAAUAAACAAUUAACUGAAAACUGACCAGAAACUUUUAAAUCAAAAUGCUUCAGGAAAAAGUGUCCAUUUGCCUCAGCACCACCAGCGUUUCUCCAGAGCAGCAUUUCAUAGCCCUUGAUCGUGGCGUGCCAUGGAAAGCACGGAUGUGAGAUGAACGGCUCCACAAAUGGGAAACACCUCCACCUUUGUGUCCUCGGGAGGCACAGCUUCACUGCACAGGCACCCGCAGGAAAGGGCAGCUCACCAGGUAUGGCCACGGGGAACAGUUUAACAAAGCCAAACUUCAGAAGUGGGGGACAAACGGAGCUCUAAUAAGGGAACCAAGAACGGAUCAAGUGGAACCGAUGUGGAAUGUUUCUAUAAGGAGAGGAUCUAAUUUCACAUUCGCUCACGCUUGUGUAACGAGAUCAAAACGAGAGUGGGAAGUGCUACGUAAUUAUUCCCAGCUCCUGGCAAGCUUAAAACUUUACUUUUAGACAGUCCACCUCAGUGCUCAAACGCCAAGUACUUCCCAGCUCCUGGGCUGUCACCAUCAGCGGUGAGGACAACAACUGCCCCAAAACAAACACUUCCAUUUGCACGUUUGCUGGUUUGCCAGCUCAGUAACGCUGUCACUGCUGGGUCACGUUGUCACUGCUGGGUCACGUUGUCACUGCUGUGUCCUGCUCACCCCCCACAUCCAAAUGUGCACCAGUUGUUGCUGGACAGUUCUCCUGCACGUCCUUGGGGACUUGCUUUUCACUGCUGCUUGCCUCGCUCCCAGUCUCCGAGGGCUGGGCGGGGUCUCUAAGCAUUAUUAUAACCAAUAAUAGUUAUAUGAUGAUUUGAAAAACACUUUUGGACACUUCCAACAAGGCCCUAAAGCUGUUCAAUAGCUCCCUGCCAAAAAUGUGUCAGAGCUGAGUACUUUCCUAGCAGUCAUUUUACACAAAGAUGGCUAAACUGUUUUUGUUCAGACCUUCCAAAAAUACUUUUGAGAAGAGUUCAGACUUGAAAAAUGUCAUUCCCAAAUUGGAAGGAAGUGGAAGGAGUUUAAAAAUGAAAAGUUCAAGUAAUUUUAGUUACAGUUGCUUCUAGAUGUUCUACCCAUCAUUUGUGUGUCCGUAGCUGACACCCAACACAGCAUCACCCACACUGGCUGCUGUCUAAUCCCAGUUGUGCUGAUUUCCCAGGGAAAGGGGUAGAGCUUCCCCUGCAAUGCUCCCCAGCUCUUUCACCAUCACAGGAUUCAUUUUCCAACCCUGACUGCCACUGCUGCAGUCACUGUCCCAGCACAAAUUACACCAGUGCAUUCACAGAGGAAUAUUUUACAAUUCAAUAUUGGACUUUUCCUAAUGGAGUCUCACACAGUGUUCACAGAGUGUCAGUACACAGAAAAAUUAACAGACUGAUACUGCCAGUGCACAAGGGAUAUUAUGGAUAAUUCCAUCCAGUCAAAGCUGGCCAGAAGCAAAAUCCUUCAGUGCAGACACCUUCGUAUCCAAAACAUUUAAAGACAGAAUCUUCACCUUUUGCUCCUGACUUGAGCACAGGUAAGUAAACAGACAACUUGGAACAAACCCAACUAGCUAACAGGCUGUUUUCUCAUCCCACAAACACUUUGGAGAGAGAAAAAAAUUCCACGUAUUUCCUACCCUGAGAAAAUGUAAAGGAAAACUAGAAAAAUGUUUUCAAAUGAACAAUCUGGAGAGGAGGGAAAAAAAAGCUCAUCUUGGAUUAGUCAUUGGGCUUUUUAAAACUUCAGACAGUUGUAUGUCCCUCCUCCAGGACAAACCUGGGAUCCCCAAGUCACAGAUUACUCCCAGAAGCUGGAGACUUCUGUCCUCCCUUAAAACACCAACAGAGCUUGGAGCAUUUACAACAUACUUAGGAAGCACAAGCACUGGAAUGAGAUUAAGGCAGGAUAAAUCCUCAGCAAAGAAUUUAAAAGGUUUGGAAGUUAAGCAAUACCAUCCCAGGAAGAAAGGCACCACUGCCUGCAAGCAGCAACACAGGAAAAGGCCUCACCCUGAUGGAUGCUCGACACUUCCCAUGAGCUUCUGGAACUCCUCCCUAGGACUCUUCUUCAGCCAAGCCUCCACACUCUUCCAUCAUUUCCCUGAACCUAUGAGAUUUUUUUCUGUGAAAAGACUGCUGAAUCUGCCUCUUCAGUGGCAUUAUUGAUAUUUGUUAAUAAACCCUUUUUACGAAAAAGAGAUUGCUCAUUGCAUUUUUUAUAAAGAUAUGUGUGCUUAAAUAAAACUAAUCUACAACAAGA